This 63-nucleotide transfer RNA is filed under the name Protohermes latus. RNAcentral describes it as "tRNA-Phe". The record is from RNAcentral. Lineage: Eukaryota; Metazoa; Arthropoda; Insecta; Megaloptera; Corydalidae.
AUUUAAAUAGCUUAAAUAGAGCAUAACAUUGAAGUUGUUAGGGUGAUAAAUUAUCUUUAAAUA